GACGAACGCUGGCGGCGUGCUUAACACAUGCAAGUCGAACGGAAAGGCCCUGCUUUUGUGGGGUGCUCGAGUGGCGAACGGGUGAGUAACACGUGAGUAACCUGCCCUUGACUUUGGGAUAACUUCAGGAAACUGGGGCUAAUACCGGAUAGGAGCUCCUGCUGCAUGGUGGGGGUCGGAAAGUUUCGGCGGUUGGGGAUGGACUCGCGGCUUAUCAGUUUGUUGGUGGGGUAGUGGCUUACCAAGGCUUUGACGGGUAGCCGGCCUGAGAGGGUGACCGGCCACAUUGGGACUGAGAUACGGCCCAGACUCCUACGGGAGGCAGCAGUGGGGAAUAUUGCACAAUGGGCGGAAGCCUGAUGCAGCAACGCCGCGUGCGGGAUGACGGCCUUCGGGUUGUAAACCGCUUUCGCCUGUGACGAAGCGUGAGUGACGGUAAUGGGUAAAGAAGCACCGGCUAACUACGUG
This 468-nucleotide ribosomal RNA is filed under the name uncultured bacterium. Its description in RNAcentral is "partial 16S ribosomal RNA". It matches the Rfam family "Bacterial small subunit ribosomal RNA", at positions 28 to 507 of the family's 1533-position model. The record is from RNAcentral.